Molecule: ribosomal RNA, 253 nt
Filed under: uncultured bacterium
Lineage: Bacteria
Description: partial 16S ribosomal RNA
Rfam family: Bacterial small subunit ribosomal RNA
Source: RNAcentral
CGGAGGUGCAAGCGUUAUCCGGAUUUAUUGGGUUUAAAGGGUCCGUAGGCGGAUUAAUCAGUCAGUGGUGAAAUCUCAUAGCUUAACUAUGAACUGCCAUUGAUACUGUUAGUCUUGAGUGAUGUUGAAGUUGCUGGAAUGUGUAAGUGUAGCGGUGAAAUGGCUUAGAUAUUACGCAGAACACCAAUUGCGAAGGCAGGUGACUAACAUCAACUGACGCUGAUGGACGAAAGCGUGGGGAGCGAACAGGAUU